RNAcentral lists this ribosomal RNA (499 nucleotides) under uncultured Glomeromycotina. Its description in RNAcentral is "partial small subunit ribosomal RNA". It matches the Rfam family "Eukaryotic small subunit ribosomal RNA", at positions 591 to 1092 of the family's 1831-position model. Lineage: Eukaryota; Fungi; Glomeromycota. The record is from RNAcentral.
CCAAUAGCGUAUAUUAAAGUUGUUGCAGUUAAAAAGCUCGUAGUUGAACUUCGGGAUCAAGGGAUCGGUCAUGCCUUGGUAUGUACUGGUCUUAUUGGUUCUCACCUUCUAAAGAACCAUAAUGUCAUUCAUUUGAUGUUAUGGGGAAUUAGGACUGUUACCUUGAAAAAAUUAGAGUGUUUAAAGCAGGCUCACGCUUGAAUACAUUAGCAUGGAAUAAUGAAAUAGGACAUCCGAUUCUAUUUUGUUGGUUUCUAGGAUCGAUGUAAUGAUUAAUAGGGAUAGUUGGGGGCAUUAGUAUUCAAUUGUCAGAGGUGAAAUUCUUGGAUUUAUUGAAGACUAACUACUGCGAAAGCAUUUGCCAAGGAUGUUUUCAUUAAUCAAGAACGAAAGUUAGGGGAUCGAAGACGAUCAGAUACCGUCGUAGUCUUAACCAUAAACUAUGCCGACUAGGGAUCGGAUGAUGUUAAUUUUUUAAUGACUCAUUCGGCACCUUACG